RNAcentral lists this long non-coding RNA (31647 nucleotides) under Cucumis sativus (cucumber). Its description in RNAcentral is "long non-coding RNA (CSAT_LNC002273)". The record is from RNAcentral. Lineage: Eukaryota; Viridiplantae; Streptophyta; Magnoliopsida; Cucurbitales; Cucurbitaceae.
UGAACCAAAUGAAAAGUUUGUAAGUAUUUAUAGAAACAAAUAAGAAUUAACAUAAGGAAGGAGAAGAAUGAGAAGAAAAAAAGAAGUAAUUGUUUUAGUUUUUGUGAACGAAAGUAUCAAACUUUUGGCAGGAAAGAGAAAAGUUGAAUUCAAGGAUACCCUUGAGAAACUUAAAUAAUAGUAAUAAAUAUAAGAUGCCAAAUUCUGUCAUUUUAUUAAAGAAAAUAAAGAAAUAAUUGGAUUGGGAUAAUUUAAUGAAUAGAGUAAGGCAUAAUAUAUAUAUAUAUAUUAUUAAUAUGAGAAAGGGAAUAGGAAUAGGAAUAGGAAUAGGAAAUUGGAAUCCGUGUGGGUAUGUGAAAACUGAAAAGUAAAGUGAAAGGUUAAAAGGGAGAGGGGGUUUUGUGUGUGGGUCCUACCUCCAACACCGAUAUUUGCGGGAGUCCAACGUGUCAGCUUUUAAACCUUCAUCCUCCCACCUCCUCUUCCUUUUUUUUUUCAUAUACUUCCAUUUAUCAUUUUACUGGAGAAUAAAUUCAUUUUUAAUUUUCUCCUAAUAUUCCAUCCCAUAAGAAUAAUAAAUAAUAAAAGACACUUACCUUUUUCUUUUUCUUUUUUUAUAGUAAAAAGAUGGUGGUAAGUUUUUGUCUAUUUAUUUAUUUUUCUCUUUUAAAAGAAAAAAAAAAAGGUAAGAAAACAAAAUUGAAAAGGUUUUAGAAGAAUGAAGGGAGUUCUUGAACUAUUUUCCGCUUCUUACCCACUCCCACAGUCACCCAUCGGCCAUCAUCCUAUAUAAUUGAAAAUCCCCCCUUAAAAUAUGGAUCAGUUGAAGUACUUAACUCAAUUUAUGGAGUGAAGAAUACCAAAUUAUAUGAUUGCUGCUAUAAUAAUAAUAAUUUUGAGUAGGGAGUAAAGAGGUUUGAGGUUGAGAAUUGGGAAAUAUAAAACAUAAUAUUUGAGUAGUGAGUAAAGAUGUUUGUGGUUGAGAAUUGGGGAACGUAAUUUGUAUAGUGUCAAGGGAGGAUUACCCGAACACUAGCAUUGUUAGUAGAGUUACAAAUAGGACAAUUAUGUAAAGAAGAAGCACAAACAGUACACAAACACAAAUGUCUGCAUGGCAAUAAUAACACACACGAUUCUUCCUUCCCACAUUUCUUACACCUUCUCUCUUCUUCUUCUGCUUCCUCUUCUUCUUCAUUUUCUUCUUCCUGCUUCCUCUUCUUCUUCCUCAUCCUCCUCUCAUCAUCUUCUUCCUCUGCCCCACCACCACCCCCCUCACAACACGACUCUGCCACCUCCUCCUCCACCACCACCACCGUUGUCUUCGUCUCCUGUAAAAGCAGCACUUCCUCCAAAUUCCUCCUUAACGCAUUUGCCGUCGCUUCAUUCGUCUCUGCCACAUCUCUCCAUAUUUGAUUCUCCAUACUCAAACAAUUCACUCUCUCCUCCAAUUCCCAAUUUAAUUUCCCCAUCUUCUCUAUCUCUUCCUCUUUACUCCUCAAUACCCUCAUCAUCCCCACCUCUAUUACCUCCAUUAUUCUCCUCGCUUCUCUCUUCCGUUUCUCCUCCACUUCCAUUCUCACCUUCUCCAUCUGCUAAUUACAACCCCCAAAAUUAAGUAAAAUUGAAAUUAAUUCCACACACAUCUAUAAAUAAAUAUAUAUUUUUCAAAAGUUAAGCUAUACCGUACAUGUUGUGAAAUCAAUAGAUCUAGAUCCAUCUGUUGUUGUUGAAUCUGAAUUGAGAUAUCUUCACCCAGAAAAUACAAAUUACAUCCGCAAUUCUUCUGUGAAUUAUUAUGAAGUUGCGAUGAAGGAUAGGAAACGAAUCGGUUUAGUGUAGAAGUAGAAGAAUGAUGAUGAUGAUGAUCUCUCGGUCGCUUUCUGGCCGGAAUGGGAAGAUUGUAGGUUAUACCGCUAUCGGAUUUCAUAACAACACCUGUGGAAGUGGGAAGCACCGCAGUGGCCUUAGGAAAGGAAUCCAUUGGUAAAGUAGAAUUGUAUGGAGGAAAGAGAGCUGCGGUCUCCACGGCUGUAGAGUUAGCAUUGAAGGCCGUUAAUGGCGAUCCGUAUCCCAUACCCAUAUCACAUACAAAAAAAGGAAAAAAAAAGAGAGAAAUUGAAAUGCGUUGCUCUGGGAAAUUGAAAUUUAUUUAAAGAACAAAAAAAAGUGUAUUCGGAAGAGAGAAAUGAUGUGAGGGUUUGUAUUUAUAGGUAAAAAGAAGUAAGAGGAAAAGAGAAGAGGGGGAUGCGGGUCAAUCCCGUAAUUUAGGGAAAGUUAGGAGGAGAUUUACGAGAUUCAUGACCUUUUCCAACGGAAUAUUGGAUUGGUUGUUUAAAUAAAAACAUAUAAUGUGAUUAAUAUAAUAAUGAAGGAAGAAGAGAGAGUUGAGAUUGUGGGUAAUAUGCGACGUGGAGUAUUAAAGCAGAUGACGCACGUAAGGAGACUGAAAGGGCUUUUUUCUUUUUCUUUUUUUUUUCUUUUUUUUGGGUACGGUCUAACCGACUUCUCACUUUCUUUCUUCUUUUUUUUUUUAAAUAUGGUUUUUUUCCCCUUUAAUGCCUUCUUUCAAACUCUAUUUUAGUUCAACCACUUCUUCUCUUUUUUUUCUUUUCUUUUAAUAAAACCCACAACCCCAUCCCUUCACAUCUUACCCUCUCCGAUCCCUUUAUUUCCUCAUUCCAACAAUUAAUCAUCUUUAUCACAACUCUUUCAUUAACCACAUUCUUAAUUCAUCUACAUCAUUCACUACUUUCCUCCUCAUCUUUUUUCUCCAUACCUUAUCACUCUCUUCUUACUCAACUUAAAAUAAAUAAAUAAAUAAAUCACCUAUGUAGAUAAAUUUAGAGAUAUAUGGAACAUAAUAUUUAAUGAAAUUUCCUUUUGAUAAUUUUGGAAAUAUAAAUGGAUGUUUAUAGGGUGUGAAGGUAGAGGUAGCCACCAACCACUUUGAAUGAUAAAAGGACGAAAGAGCAAAUAAAUAAAUUAAAAGGGCAUAGGGGGGCAUAUUAAUUACAUAUGACUGUCAGAGUUGGACCAACAUCAUUCACACAACAUAAUUAUGAAACUUUAUAGGGAGAGAGAAAUUUAAAAAUAUUUUGUGUUGAGAGUAGAUUAAAAGUUGCUAAAAAAAAAAUUUACUUACAAACUUUAAUAACAAUAAUCUCUUUUUCUUUUGCUUUCUAAUAUUGUUGCUUCUCUCGCAUCAUCCAUAUAGAUCAUAGUGCUUUUGUUAAACCACACCACACAAGAAUCUAAUUAAAAAAAAAAAAAAAAGAAGGAAAAUCAUCAAAAAGUAAUUUCAAUUCAACCCAAAAAUGAAUAAAAUAAACCAAAGUAGGGAAAAGGAGAAAGGGGGUGGUGGAUGCUAGUAUUAUUAGCAUCAUAGGUCAUCCUUUACUUUAUAUGAAAGGACACCUUAGAUUGUUGUCUCCAACUUAAAUCAACAGUAAAUCCUUCAACACAUGUGCCACAAACAAACCCUUUUUUUUUUUCUUUUUUUUUUCUUUUAAGGUUUGUUUACAAUAACAUGAUAUUGAUAUUGUUCAUUUUAGAUUUGAACAAAGGAUUGCAAAAAUGAUUUACAACCAUUUUCUGUUUUUUUAGUGGCUUUAUAUCAACACUUUUUACAUGUCCCUUUACUAAGUUAUUUCCAUCUUUAUUAAUUUCCUUGAUGAUGUGGUUGCCUUUUAACUCUUUUUCUUUUUUUCUUUUUUCUUUUUUUUCCUUUUCCUUGUUGUAACUUUUAUUUUCUUUCAAGUGGUGUUGCCUUAAUAUUCCACAUGUGAUCUCCAUAGUCCACUCUCUUUUAACCCUCACAUUUUAAGAUUCCCCAUACCACUCUCUUUCUAUUUCAAAUCUCUAUCUUUGAGUUUUUUUAGGGAAUCUUAUUCAUCUCACCUACACCCCAUAUAGAAAAAGUUUGAAGGAAGAAAUAAAUCCUUUUAAAUUUGUCUUGAGUUCACCUAUCUCUUUCGACGAUAUUGAAGAAAGAGACAGAGCUUAGAGGGAGAGAAAAUAAAAAGAGAGCUUGUUAUUUAAUGAAUAAGGUUCCCAUAUGUGAAGCAACAAAGGAAAUAGAGAUAUAGAUCAAUAUCUUUCACUCUUUUUCCACUCACAAACAGAUGGUUUGUUGAGGCAUCAUUAUAAGGACUAAUACAUUGCUUAUGGAUGAGGAUGCUUUAACUCUAAACUAAUAAUUUAUGCCUUUCAUCAAAUCAAAACCUAUGUUUUGGAAAGAGUGAAAGAGAAGUAGAACAAAGUGAUAAAAAUAAAAUAAAAUACUGUACACUGAUUUUUGUGGGGGUGGGUUGGUCCUUCCAGUAGUAAUAGGGUACCCUACCAAAAAGCUAAAAGGGGUCAGAGUUCAGGCUGCCUAAUUUUCACCCUAAGCAAUCAAUGCUUUGGUUUCUUUUUGGACCCAAAUAAAAAUGGAGAGAUGGGAAAGUUUUUUUUUUCCAUAAGCUUGGGUUUGGUUUUUAAUGUUGUUUCAAAAUAUUUAAUGGGUUGGGUGGCAGUGGCAUGGCAGUGAUGAAAGUUUGGGAAUUGCAUGUGGAAAUAAGGAUUUUGAGUGGUGGUGUGGGGACAAGUCUUUUCACAUUGAAUGAAGGAAAUGGGGUGAAUACAUAUAAGAGAUAAUCUUGAUUCCAAAAUCCAAAAUCCCAAGUAGUGGAAAAUGGAAGUUGGUUUUUUAUUUUUUAUGUGUGUCAUCUUUCUUUUCCCAAUGCGUGUGAGUGUGGGUGUCUGUGUCAGAUUUUCUUUUUCUUUCUUUCUUUCUUUCUUUUUAUUCAAUUACUAAAGAGUGAAUUGUACAUUUCGGUUGUUUCUUUGGAGCCCAGCCAGAGGUACCAAGCCAGGCCACCAUCAAUGUCCUCCUUCUGCUUCAACACAAUUUCAUAACUGCUCCAUUAUUGAUUUUAGUUGUGUUAUCAGCUUAGUUUUGUAUGAAGAUGGCAGAAACAAAUGGGGGAAUGGGGAUAACUAUAUGACAUCAAUUAUUGAGGAUUCUAAAGAUCUUUGGAAAAAGAAAUAGGAUGAAGGAUUGAGUUGUGCCUCGUCACCAGGGUUAUGUCGUUGCCUACAAGCUACCUAGCUACUCGUAUAAGGAGGUGUGUCACUCUCGAGUCCCAUUUUGACGAUCACCAUCGUAAGGAUGCACCUAUGUUACUCUGUACUUAGAAGAAGAAAGAAACUACUAUUUUUAUUGUAUUUAGAUUUGUUUGCUUUCUAAAAUGUGUGAUUCAUGUUCAUACACUACCAUUUCACUGAAUAGUAGAGUAGAGAACAUAACAUCACAGUGAAAAAAGAGUUGAAACAAUUUCUUCAAUGGCAUCCUGUUCCUUAAAAUUUCAAUAAUUGGUACCUGAGCUACAUAAUAAAACAUUAUGAGAUCUAAAUUAUUAGAUGUGGAAGUAAAUAUUACUAGAAUUCAAACAUACUUGAUAUAGUUUAAUUAUAAAAGUAAAGGCACUGAUGAGUUCUUUGUUUUCCUUGCACAUAUCCCAGCAGAUGCAGUGCAAUCACUACUCAACUAAACUACUAUAGGAGAAAGCAAAUAAUUAAAGCCAAUGGCCCAUUUACAUUAUUAUUUGCACUUAGGAGACGCCUGAAACAAUCAUUCAUCAGUCAACCAUCGUACUGUAAAGCCUAUCAAAAUCAAUAAUUCAUCCUCAUCAUCCACAAAAAUGUUUACACCAUGAUGCUAUAACUAUUAGAAAUCCCCCCCACCCAACAACACUCAUAAUGUAUUGCACAGGGAACAGUCCUCGACUAUUAUUUGGUAAAUGGCAGAACAAAUGAACAAAAGAAUAGAAAUUCAACAUGUAAAUCGGUUUUUAAAAAAAGUAUAGCUAACCGGCUUAGCAUAAGUGACGAAGUCGAAUACUUCAAAGUUGAUCUGAUCAUCCAGUGACCUUGGAAGCCUCAGCAAAACAAACAAAAUUCGGUCUUGCAUUUAUGAGGAAAAUGGAACUCGAGGAUGGUAUCUUUGCUUCUUCAUCCAGUUUUAAGGCAAGUGAAUAAUUAAGUGAAUGGCUUGGUACCUAAACUUCAUGUUCGGAUCAAUUGAGCUUCAUAUCCCCGGCUACUAUCAACAAGGAAUCAACAUUGAAACACAGUCCAGACUGACAUUUUUUAUAAAAUAACAGUUGUAGACAUGAAGCAUGUUAUGUAGCUGGGGAAUUUUGUGUCAAUGAUGAUCCUACUUGAAGCAUAAGAGGGUAUACUGCAGUAAAUUCCUUGUCUCCUCUGGCCCGUACCCUAGUGGCAUAAUCAUCUAGAGUUGCUUUGACACCUUUCCAAACUUGUUCCUCACCUUGAGAGUCCAACCACAAUGAGUACUGCUGAGGAGUAAGUUUGUUCCUUUGCAUCGGUGACUGCAGUUCCUCAGGACCCCGAGAAUAUAGAUGAUGAAGUAUGACACUCGCUGGCAAAUCGUGCAGUAGUGGAGAUGCCUCCAGUUGAGAUGUUUCAAGAAAUAUAAGCGGACGAAAUGCUCGAAGAGCUCGAUAUGGUGCACCAAGUUGUUCUACAGGGAACAAGUUUUGACCCACGGCUAGCUCCAGUUCAGCCAUGUCCCUAGCCAUUCGUAGUUUUCCUGAUUCAGAAAGAGGUCUGACAAGAGAAGCAUGCCUGAUAAAGAAAAUUAACACUCUUGAUGCCAUGCUUCUAACAAGCUGAGUGCAAAUGUUUUCCGUUCCAGAGAUGGUUGCAUUUUUGGAUGAAGGCAACAGCCUUGAUAAGAACUCACCGCGAAAGUGAAGAAUGUACUUUUGCAGUUCCUCCAUGUAAGGUGAUGCAUUAUUGUCCAUUGCGGCAUUCAAACCCAGUGCACCAAAGUUCUGGUCAUGAAUUUGCAAUAUACAUGACUCGAGACUGUCGAGCAUGGCUUGGAAUAACGAUGUCACAGAAUCACAGGCAACCCCGUAUAUUGAACCUAAUGAAGGAGACAGAACAUCAGAAGCAAUGAUGGGUAGCCCAGUUAUCAUAGAUGAUACUCGAGUAUGAAUUUCUUGCAGAUGCUGGCAUAAUGUGAAAUUCUUAAGUUGGGCUGCGGUUGCUGGACCAUUUACUUGGCGAGCUUCAGGACCGGUAGAUAUCUGCCAUCAAAUUUCAAUAAUAUGAUAAGUCACAAAUCGGAGUAAAUAUUUGAAUAUUGAAAUAUAUUCCACCAACAUUGAGAAUUAUAAUCCAAAAAUAAUUUCUUCUGAUCUAAACUUGGGUUUAAACAAAAAUCACUAGAAAAGAACGAUCCUUCCCAUAAAACAAAAACUUUCCCCUCUUAUGACAAUCAAUGAAUCAUUUCAUUUUCACAAGCAAGUAAUGAAGGAUGUAAGACAGUUAUUCACCAAGAACAGAACCAAGUGACAGUUUAAGAGCCUAACCUACAUCAGUCCAAAAAUCUGAGAUAGUACAGAUUGGUGAAGCAAAGCAGUUCCACACUAGGAACAAAAUUUUGUUCAGUUCUGAAUAACAAAACCAAGUGACAGACUGACAGUUUAAGAGCUUCACCUACAUCAGCCCAAAAAUCUGAGAUCGUAUGGAUUGGUGAAGCAAAGCAGGGCCACACUAGAAAGAAGACUUGUCAAGUCCUAUAUGUAAAUAAUCCUGAUUUACAAUGUUUCCAAGGUCACAUGGGAUCUUUGGUAGAUGGACAAUAUUUUAUUAUGAUAGGAAACAAGAUAGAAUAUAUUGUAUACCAAGGGUUGUAGAUGGACAAUACUUUAUUUUCAUAGGAAACAAGAUAGAAUAUAUUAUAUACUAAGGCUUGUAGAUGGACAAUACUUUAUUUUCAUAGGAAACAAGACAGAAUAUAUUAUAUACCAAGGCUUGUAGAUGGACAAUACUUUUGCUACUGUACUACAAAUUGCUUAGUAGUAAAUCUUGCAUGGAAAAACAGUAUGGGAAUAAGAAUAUCUAUAGCGGAAUUUUUUAGAGGCACAAACAUUGAACAAAUAGGCCCCCCUGGUGAACAACAAAGACUAAAUUCGGGGCACUAUGACUACCUCCAUUUUUAUAACAUGGAAAAACAGUAUAAACAUAUAACUUUGGAUUGCAUAUGAUAGUAGACAGUAGUGGUUAGAAUAUGCCAAUUUCAUCAGAAAACAAACUACCUGACAUUCAGCUCUUUCAGCCAGUAAGAGCAGAGCCUUGCCAACUUGACGCAGCACAAGUAGAGUUAAGCGUCCAUCCAUCUGAACAGAUUCAAUCUCUUCCUGAAUACAUGAUAUGAUUUUUGAGAUCUGUUCUUUCGAGGGAACACUACCACGACUUGAGACUGGAAAUAUAGAGCUAACAAGAUCAGACAGGCGACUCAAGCAAAAGCCGAGGAAAGCUGUCUGGAAUAUUUCAAUGGCUGCAACCAUCUGAUCUUUUCCUGUUGAACUUAUUGCUGGCACAACCCCUUUGACGUCAGUAUCACGUGAAAUUCUUUCAAGAAGAUUCUCUAUCAUUGAAAACAGUUUUGGAUACCCCAUAGUGAAUAUUUCUUUCACAAAGCUUGAUGCAGUAAAAGCUGACUUCAUUUGGCUAGCAAAAGCCUUCACAAGAGCCUCCCAAACUCUAUCUGUUAACAUGGAAUCACCUUCCUAAACAACGCAUAGGUUAUAUGAGAGACUGGUUGCAAAUAGGAGAAAGUUUAAGAUAACUAUACAAAUUAUGGGUGUAAAAUUGAGCAGAACAAGGACUAAUGUGAAUCGCAAAAGAUUUUAUUUCAAAUUCUGUGAGUAAAAAACUUUGACAAGGUAAGUAUCUCCUUAUGUAAUUUGCAGUGACUAUGAUCUGACUAACAAUUUGCUUUGAAAUCUCACAACUUUCAACAAAUGAGGUGGAAAGAAAAUGAUGACAACUUGGAUAUACUUCAAAGCACAUGGAAAAAUUUUGGGACUGAAAUCUACUCGAAAUCUUAAUUUCAUCUUUUCUCCCACUGUCAACUAGUAGAAAAAGCUUUGAGAUGACCAACUAAUGAAUCACUUAUUUUAUCAAAGUUUAACAGUAAAUUGAAUUUUAUGCUCAAAAUUAACAACAGAGAAAUUCAGCAGCCGCUUUACUAUAUCUUUCACUUCUAGAUUAUAUUCAACAAAUGUCACCAAGUGAUCACAGAUUUCAAAUGCACCCAGUUUCUCUGUUUCAUAUACUACAUUGGUCAUUUAGAGACAGAUAUCAAUCUACCAAAAUGUUUAACUAAUUGUGACCGAGACCCAGGUAACGAAAGGUGUUGUCUAAAUUAAAAUCAGUACCUAUAUCUUAGGCUUAUCGCUCGCUAGUCUUAUAUGAAAAAAUAAUAGUUUCAUUAUCUACAUUACAGAACAGAUUUUGGGUAUCACUUGCCUGGAUAACCUCGUCAAGCAGCAAAACAUGAGUAAAAGGGUCGCGUUUCUUCGAUAAGACCCUCUGCAAGUGCCAAACAGCAAUAACAAUUGAAUGCAACUGAUCCAAACAAGUUCCCAAUCUCUGCCAGAGCGCCUCCCUUGCCUUAGCACCUCCACCAAUCUGUGGCGUCCCACUUCCCCUUAUUCCUCCCGGACCAAAUCCACUUCCCGCCGACCCCGAAAUUGACUUCAUAUCCAAUGCCACACUUACGCUCUUCACCCCCAUACCCUUAUACUUGGUCAUCAAUUGCUCAAUGGUCGCCUUCAAUUCACCAAGAUUGUAAAACACCUGCAAACCAGUCCCCACCUCAGCUUGAUUCAGACCCUCCAUUCCUCUCUCCAAAACCUUCAUAGCCUCAGUUCUCAAUUUAUCCCCAAUUUCUUUAACCCAUUUCAACUCCUCGUCAACAACAUCGAUGCCCGCCAGGUCAAACUCAGUACAAAGGCUCAAGAUCUCGCAAUGCAGCUGGGCAGCCUUAGCAAGAUCCAGCUUCUCCGGGUCAUCAGCAGAUGCAGAAGCAAGUUCCCUAAGCUUCUUCGACAAACGAAGGGCACGGAUCGUAUGCUGAAGAAGCUCGGUGGUUUGAUGAAGAUUGGAGAACUGAACGGUCUUGGUAAAAACGACAUUUCUAGGUUCAGAAAGCUCGGAUCGGACAUGACGAACGGUGGACUGGAGGGAGGAGACACCGGAUCGAACAGUGGAGAGGGCAUUCUCAGCGUGCUUGAGAGAUGAGAGUUGAGAGAGGAGAUCAUUGUGGCGGGAGAGAACCUCAUUGCGAAGCUGUGAUUCAAGGAGACGGAUGGCCUUCUGGAGCUUCUCGGCAGUGGAGGCGGGUGAGCCGGAGGAAAGAGCGGCGGAGGAGAAGGAAGUGGAGGAGAAAGAAGGAGAAAGAAAAGCGGAGAAAACAGGGUCGGAAGCAAAGGAAUCGAGAGGAGAUGUAGCAGUGGCAGUGGUGGUGGUGGAGUUAACGGGGAGAGGGGAAUUGAAAGAAGAAAAUCGGUGAAUAGGGGAGGAGGCGGCAGCCGGAGUGGAAGAGAGCGGAGAUCGCUGAGACUGGAACGGUGACGGUGAGGCUGCGGCUGAAGACGCCAUAUCGGUGGGAAGACGGGAAUUUUCAGUCGUCAGACGGGGAAUGCCUUUUUUAUUAUUCGUUUUCUUGAAUUUGGAGCAUUAUAAAUCUAAAUCUAAAUUAUUGUAAUUCAAAUCAAUCACUAUAUUACUAUAUACUAUAUACUAUAUACUAUGUAUUCUUCUCCUAAUAUUACCUUUCAUUUUUACUAAUUCAACAUUUUGGGUCAAUUUUAAAUAGUUUAAACUUUCUUUUCUUUUUCACUUUAAAAUACUUUUUAAUACAAAAAUAAUAUUAUUGAAAACAAACUCUUUUGAUCCCUCAAAAUUAUGGUUUAUAUUUCUAAAUAUAAUUUUCAUAUAUUAAGGAAUUAGUGCAUAUGCUAUAGACUUAUAAAUGAUUUAGAAAUUGUUAAACCUACCUACAAUUCAGAGUUGAAUGUUUUACCAAUAUUGUGUUUGAUAAUUGUUUAAACACUAAAAGAAAGAAUUGUGUUUCAUAAACAUAGAAUUGUUUGAAGUACAAAGUUGAGAUAUGAUGUUUAAGUUUAAAGUGCAAAUUUGUUUAAUUUUGUAUUUGACGACAAUGUUGAGUUGAUAUACUAUGAGCUCCUAGUGCAAGAUUUUGUACUCUAAGAAUUUGUUUGAAAGAUAAUCUAAAAACAAAAAUUUAACCAUAAGAGAAUGAAUGAAAACACUGUUAUAUUUCAUAUUUUCAUAUUUGUGUUUAGUAGUAGAAUUUACAAAUUAGAUUUUAAUUUAAACAAUUGAAAACUAGUUGUCAGUUACCUACAAUAAGGUUUCCUUUUCCUUCUUUUCAAUUCCUUUUCUAUUUCAUUUUUCUUUUCCAUUUUCCUUCAUCUUAUCUCUAUCGUCUUUCCCAAAUAACCACCCAUCUUUCUCUUCCUCUCAUCGUGUUCGUUGUUUUCCUCUUUGUCUCUCAUCUUCUUUCUCUACAUGACGCCUUCCUCUUCGCUGGAUCUGGGUUUUUCUCUUCCUCUUUGCGUGAAUUGUGUUUUCUUUGUGGGUUUUCGUUAAAUUUGUGGGGUUUUGUCAGUUUCAGUCCUCCUCUUCGUAGUGGGUUUUCGUCUUUCUCUCGUCGACUCUGUUCUUCAGAUCUCAAUCUUCAUCUCCUUCUCCAUAAGAUUACAAGAUGACAUUCAUAUCUAGGUUUGAUAAUUUUAUUUUUUUAUAUGUUUAAUGGAGAACAUAUAUUUUUGUUUGAUGUUUAAUUGAAUUAAAUGCGAAUAAAAUAAAAAAAAAAUCAGGAAACAAGAAACAAUUAUCAAACACAUUUUCUGUUUCUGUUUUUUUUUUUCAAGAAACAAGAAACAAAAACAAUUAUCAAACACAUUUCUGUUUCUUGUUCCAAAAAAAGAAGGAACGGAAAACCGAAAACAGGAAACAAGAAACAGGAAAUGAGAACGUUACGAAACGAGUCCUAAAUUAAUUAAUUAAAAUUUUAUUUCUAUAAUUCAUAAUAUCCAUAUUUAAUAACGGUUUGAAUUCAAAUUUUAGACAAUAUAAAGAAUGAAAAAUAUAUUCAAUAGGUUCAGAUUCUUUAUAUUUCAUACUAUUUAUAAAACUUUAUUAAAUAAUACAUGAUACAUACUUCUAAUAACAAAUUCCAUUUAGGUUUUAUAUCAUCCCAAAAAUUGAAUGGCAAACAUAAAUUUUUAAUAACAACUUAUAUUCCAAAAUAUUUAUAAAAAAAAUCUAUUAAAUAAUACAUAAUACAUAUUUUUAAUAACAAUUUAAAUUUAAAUUUUUUUAUCCCUUGAAAUCGUGCUAAUUACGAGUAUCCACUUAUUUUAGUUGAUUUUUAUUUUAAAAAAUUUAUUCUUUACUUUUUGCCAAUUGUAUAGAACUAUUAUAUUGAGACAUUAAUAUUCAUGUUUAUUUUCAUUAGACGUUUUCUUUUUUGUGUUACGGUUUUCAUCGAAUACUUACUUUACAACAUAUCCUUUAACAUUAUUUGUGAUGGCUUUACAAUGAGUAAAGGUUGUGUGAGAUGGUGGAUGGAUUGUAACUUUUCUAUAUAUUUAUUAUCGUGUGGUUGAUGUAUACGUUUAGUUUGUUAAUAUCGUAAUUGAAAUUCAUAUCAGUAGGUUUAGUUUGUCAAAUACAAUAUAUAAUUUACAUACACAUUACUUAUCUCAUGUCAUCGAUAAAGUACUCAACCCAUAAAUUAUAUAGAAUUCAUAUACACGGCUAUUAGAAAGUACUAGUCACUAAUGCCAAUAAACAGAUUCAAUGUUUUAAUAACAAAAGUAUAUACAUAUCAUUGAUGAUGACAAAACCUAUUCCACACCGUCAUAUUUACAAAUACUUUGUAAUUGUAUUCCACAAUUCUUAUUAUCUAAUAGUCAUUCAGUAUAACAAACAUAUUUCAAUCUUUCAGGACUAUACCAUUUUCAUUUGAUCUUCUUCCUUUUUGCUUCAUUUCAUCAUAUAUUACUUUUUCAUCGAUUGACCUUGUCAACCUGUUUAUUUCUCCUUAGUGUGCUAUGUGCCCUAUUACAAUUAUGUACACAUGUUAGUUUUCAGGAUGUAUUCUAAACAUUUUGAUCAAGUUGUACUAUAUUCAGUUUUUAUCUUUACCUCAUAUGGUGAGCGAUCUCCACUUGUCUUUGUGCAUACUUUAGUAUUGCUAGAGGUGGUUGUUGGAUUCUUAAGUUGGUCGCAGAGAGGUAGUCACUUCACUAAGUCUGUAGUUAGAGGUGGUUGUUGGAUUCUUAGGGGGUGAGAAGAUAGACAAAUGUAGAGUUGUACGAACAAGGCGUGGUUUAGUAAGCAAUAAUGUUUGUUCUAAUUUUUUUAAUUAUUUAAAUGAGACAUUGGGCAAUGCCAUCAUUGAGACGUUGAGAUUUUGUAGCGACAACGCGUUGAGACACAACAUAAUGUAAACGCUUUGAGGCGAGGAGGUAUUGACACAUUAAGACUUUGAGGCGUUAGAAAUAUCAUGCAUUAAUACUCUUAUGACCGUUGAGGCGUUACGAAACUCAACACUAUAUAUAGUCCCUUCACUCCUCUUAUCUUAUAUCAUCCAGAAAUACUUCUCUUACAAAUUUCUCUCAAAACUUAUCUCCCUUAUUUUUGUUUUCAGAGCAAAGUCAUUCAAAGCAUGUGUUGAUUUUCGAUUGAUUUUGAUGCAACUUUGAUUGAGUUUUCUGCCUGUUUUAUCCCAUGAGUGACAUGGAUAUACUGAACUAUUUGUAUUCCAGACAGAGUCAUAAAACGUCUUAAAGAGAGGGUGAACCUCGACUCAUCUAACAAAUUUAUAUUUUUCGAUUAAGCAUCCAAGCAUUAAGUCUAGGCGUCCACCAACCAGUCGUUCACCAGUCUAGGCGACCACACGAGGUAACCAUGCUCCAAGUUUCAUCUAAUCUAGGCGUUCAAACUUCUAAACACCAAUUGUUGCUUACAAUACAUGCUUCACUGCAUCCUCCCGUACUUGCACCAACAAUUUUUUUAAAAAAAGAAAAUGUGUCUGAAUUUCAAAAUAGAAAACUAAAAACAAAAUCAACAUGAGUAAGUACAAGUAGAAAAUGAUUGAAAAAUGAGAAUUUCCAAACUCCAUUCCAUAGCACUUUUCAUUUAUUUUUUUUCUCUUUUUAGCCUAGGAGAUAGAGAGAAGGAAUUCACGUCAUUAAGGUUUAUUUAGUACCACAAUAAAGUAUUAGGUGAAUUAAUAGAAAUCAUCUACUUAUUACAUAAAAUGUAAUUAAUGUAUGGAAAGAACGCAUAUUCCAAUUUAACUAUAAAUUAUUUAUGAUGAAUACAAUUCAAUUAAUUGAAGUCUAUAUCAUAGUUUUGAAUCUCUCAACUUUACAUAAAAAAUUUAACGUUUGGAUCAUUCAUCCACCUAAACUAAAAUGACAGAGUGUAUGUGGAAAAGAAGGAAAGAAGAAGGAAAGAAGAAGGGAAAGAAGAAGAAAAGAAGAAGGAAGGAAGGGUUUUGGGAAUACAUACACCAUAAAUUACAACUACAACAAAACCACAAACAAAUUAUGCCUACAGAAAAGAAAAAUGGAAUCCAACACAAGCCGACAAUUGAUAUAUACUCAUUUUCCUAACUACGCCUUAAUUUGAUCCGAUCAUAUUCUCCGUUACUCAGUUGUCACUAAAAGACAAUCAAACAAAUAAAAAUGAAAAAGAUCAGACAUGACCCCCACAACAGAGUAAGAAGAAACAGAGAGUUGAGACCAACACAAUGGCUUCAACAACAGAAACAAUCUUGAAGAAGACAUUAUCGACGAGAAAAUGAAACAUUUGAAAAUCAAUUGGGUUUCUUCUGAAUAGCCAAGAAAACCGCCAUGGCCAUAGCUCUUUGCUCAUCAUCUUCUUCAACGACCAUGUUGUCUUCUUCUUCUUCCCCAUAAAAUAAACAACUCUCUGUCAGUUUCUCUCACAAAAGGAUAAAAAUGCAGAGGCUCUGUAUGUUAUGUUAAUAUGAAUAAAUGGAGGCUUCUUUAUUUUGGGGGUUUGGCCACUCUGUUUUUGUUUGUGGGGGAGAAUCUUAAAGAACAAUGUAUUUGCUGGCAAAUAAUAUAUGUAGAGAUGGUGGGGAAAUCUAUGCAAUUAAUUCCAACCCAUUUCUGUAUAUCCUAAAGUUGGAUAAUUAGGAUUUUAAUUCAAUUUCAAAUUUCUUUAUAAAAUAUGUAAGUAACCGUUAAGAGGUUUUGAUCAUAAUAAAAGAAAGAAGUAACGUUAGCCUUUAGACCCCACUUUGGGGAAAUUUUGGAAAAGAGCUGAAGUUGUGCCAUUUGUUUUAAAAUAUGACAUUCCCUAAAAUCUCCAAUUAUCUAAAGGGGAGUACAAAAAUGAAAAAUGAAUACAGCAUUGUUUCCAAAUGUCUUAAAAUUUUAUAUUUAAUAUACAUAUACAUAUAUGUACCUAUGUAUAUUAAUAUUUUUGAUUCCUAUCCAUUUGAGGAUAUUAUAGUUACAGUACAGAGUAUUUAUGAAGUUUAACUUAAUUAUGCAACUUACUUUUAUUUUUAUUGUAAUAGUUGGGUAAAGAAAAAGAAUAGAUAUGAAAUUGGUUAUAUUAUAUUACUAUAUAUUUAAAAGAAAAAGAAAAAAAAAAAGGAAGGAGGAGAAAUAGGCACGCGUGAAAAGGAGGAGAUCAAGUAGCCAACUUGUAUGCUACAUUGUUCCGUUCCGUUCCGUUGUAUGGAAAGGGACAUGGAUAACGGUAUAAUUACAAUAUUCAUUUUUUAAAAAAAAAAAUAAAAAUAAAAUUUAUUCCUUAAAACAAAUACCAAAUAAAACCCAUAUCUUCAUCAAAAGGUAACGCAACGGCCGGUUAUCAAAUUAGUCCUCCAUUUUUUACGAAAUGUAAUCCUUUCAUUUUAGACUAAUACAAAUAAAUAAUAUAUAUAUAGCCAGCUGGUAGACGGCAUGCCAUGAUUAAGAAAAAAUAAUGUAAAAUUGAUUUUGAAAUUGUUGCUUCAAUAUAAAAGGGUUAUUUGGAAAAUAUAUUGAUUUUCACAACAUUUCCAAAUUCACCCAAAUUUUAUAUUCUAUACAUGAAAAAAAAUAUAUUCCAAAUGCCAAAAUUAUUGAAAUAUUGAAUUUUGUAGGCAUGUAUAUAUAUGUUACUGAUAUUAGAAAUAGUGUCUGUCACCACGAUCACACAACACUCCUCUUGAAAGUGCCAUUGUUGGAUUUUAAGCUAAGAGUAUUUUUGUUGAAGGAAGUUUUUCAUUUUGGUGGUUGGAUUUAAAGUCAUAAGUUUUUGAAGUUGAGAUUGAACUCUGAAUUGCACAAGACUUUUGGGAUGAGAGAUAGUGAUGUGAGUGUUGGUCAAGUGACAGGGAAUUCAUGUGAAUGUGGGGGUGCAAAGGGGUAAGUGUGGGGUGUUAAGUGUGUAUAGGAUGGCCAAUGCAUAGCCAAACAACAUGAAGCGCGUGUUAGGGUUAUGUGGCAUGCCACAGAUGUGUGGCUAGACAUGUAGCGAGGUUAGCACGCUGCUAGGCAAUCUGAUGGGUCUGUGUGUGCACAUGUGCAUCCUCUAGUACGUACUGCUCAUCCCAAGCACCAACCAUGCCCUAAGUGUCAUUUUAGGCUAUUUUUAGUGUUUUUGUAAUUUGUAAGUAAAGUUUGAGCUACUUCUGAAUUAGGAAGAUUAAUUGCGAAUUCUCUUAUUUUAGGUCAAAAGGAGAUUGAAAAAAUUUAUAGACCAAAGAGUUAUCUUUGUUAGUAACAAAAAUGAGUUUAAAUGUUGAUUUUCGAAAUGAACUACUAGUUAAAUGAUUUGAGUAUGAUUUAAGUUAAAUGUGCAUAUUUUGUAUACAGCUUUUAGAAAAUUAUUCCCAAAGCAUGAUAUUUAACCAAGAUAGAGUUUAUAAUUGAGCUUGUGAACUGUUAAUAAGCAAUAACAUGAGUUUACUGAUAUUAUUAAGUUCUUUGGUUAAGCUCAAGAUUUAAGUAAAACAUAUUUUAAAACCUCAUGAGACUUAUGAGAAUUUCAAGCAAGCAUGAGUUAUGUUGAGUUUCUAAGUAUUUAAGCUUGAGAUUGAUUCUAGCAAAGCACGUUUUAAAGAAUAGAACUUUGAUGUAUGCAAGAGGUUUAUUUAAACAUGUUCUAGUUUGAGUUAAGCUUGUGAUUUGAAGGCAUGUUUAAUUCUAUACUUGAGAUACCUAGAGAAUUAUAGUAACUAUGCUAUGGAGUUUCCUGUGCACAAAGGUUUAUAUAUUGUGAUGAUGGCAUUCAAUAGAUGCCUAAUUUUCCAUCACAGAGAUUAGUUAGAGACGAGGGCCUCUUUGGACGCCUAGUUAUCCAUCUUAGAGCAAUUAUAUCAAGAUGAGGGCACUCCUAAUGCAUAGUUUUUCAUCUCAAAGUUAUACAUAAAUUUAGGAUAUAGAGAGAAAGAGAAAAGCUUGAGAAGCUAUUUUAUCACUUUGCUAUGUGUAUUACUUGCAUAUUUAUAAAGCAUGUUUCGUUUUAAAAGAUAAUAGUGAUUCAUUGAGCUUUAGUUCGCAUUUUUUUCAAAAUGUUUUCACUUCUUAGGUAAAGAUCGUAGACCCGGAGUCUAUCUUACUGGUGCCUAUCUACUGGAGAGUCUUAGUUACCAUUUCAAUAGUUACCAUUUCAAUAUGUCUUGUAUUUGAAGCCUGCAUAUAGUCUAUAUAUUUUAUAUUAUGUGAGUUUUGAAUGUUGUAUAGGAAAUUGUUGUGGGAUAUAUUUUGUUUGAGUAUUUAAGACUUAUUAGAACUUUAAAAGUUCACUCUCUCAGGUUUCUACAUUUAUGAUUCCUUUUGAUUUUAGUUGUUGAGUUAGUAGUUAAGUUAAGGGUCAACAAGUAUUCUUGGGAGGGAAACAAAAAUUAUAAGCUUCAUGUCUUCUCUUCGACUUAAAGAAGGCAGUUUGAGAGAGUGUGUGAUAGUUCGGUAUCAGAGUAUGUUAGUUCUUUGGGAACUACAAAGUAAGAGUCUUGAGGAAACUUAAGAGUAAGUUAAGUCAGAGUUAGAGUUUGCGAUAGAGUUCAAGAGUUAAGUCAUCUACAACAUGUUUAAUGAGUUGAUACGUUAUAGGAGUCAUGCAAUCACAUCUUAGUAGAGAACAUAGGCAGAAACAAAACGAGACACAAGACUCAACCCAAGGACAGUUUGAAGGGGAAUAUAGUAUCUAGAGAGCUUAGACUGAGGUAGAGAAUGAUCGGUUUGCUAGAUUUGCCCAAAGGUUAGUAUAGUUGAUGGGCUCAGUGCCUAGUGAUAUCGAGAGGACUAAGUAUGGCAUAGAGCGACUCAAACCUCUAGAAGCACAAUAUUUUAGGGUUUUACAGAUCCAACUAAUGUAGAUGCAUGGUUAAAUCUAUCACAAAAGUGCUUUCGAAUGAUGGAUUAUCCUGCAGAGAGGAAGGUCAGGCUAACCACAUUCCUACUUUAAAAGGAAGUAAGGAGAUGGUAGAAAUCAAUUAAAGCUAGACGCAACAAUGCUCAUACCCUUGAUUGGAUGACUUACAAAGCAGUUGUGAAACUCGUGCCUAAAAAAAAAGGAAGUUUUCCUUCCAAGUCGUUAUUUUCCUACUUGUUAUCCAAGAUGGGAGUGAUUGAUACUCACUUUCCAUCUUGAGGGAGAGUAUUAGGUGUAUAGUUGUAUUUUCACAUCAAAUUCAUAUUUUUUUAGUCUUAUAUUAUCUUGUAUUCAUAUAUUUUAUUAACUUUUUAUUCAAUAAAAGUUUAAUCUGUCCAGCUUGAGAUCAGUAUACACAUAUUAAAAUUAAAAGAAAAGUCAACUACUUCAUUUCACUUAUAUGAACAUAUCAAAAUCAGAUUGAUAGCACCGAAAAUGUGCUAUCUAGCUCUACUUAAUUCUAGCUUGCUUCUUGAUUUUACAUUUUUAUUUGAAUAUUUUAUAGGUUUUGAGUAAUUUAGGAUAGAAAUUGGUGUUUGGAGCUUAAUUGGGUGAAAUAUAAGUCAUAUGACAUCAACCAAAGCAAAAGCAAGUUAAAAAGAGCUUCAUUGGCAUGCCUUGCAGCACCAUGAUGAUGUAAGAUUUUCAUCUAAUCUUGCUGUUGUGUUUCUCUCAAUUUUCUAAGUUGUUUAUGUCUCCAAACAUCUUCUCAUCGUUCGACAUGUCAAGAAUGAGCUCAUGUAUCAUGUAUCUAGCUAGGGUUGUUUAGGAUUUUCCAUUCAUUCCAUGUAUUUGUGAUUUUUGAACUAGAUCUUCUUGGUUUAUUAAUUUAAUUUUGUUUGGAACGUUUUAAUAUCUUGUUUUUAGGCACUUGGAGAUUGCUAGAUUAUCGCUUUGUUGAAGCAAUAGGUAAUUUAAGUUUGCUUGCUAUAGGCAUUGAUCAAUCUAACCUAUAAUUGAAUUCGCAUGAAUAAUAUAUUUAGUUAGACACUUGAAAAUUAAGUAUUUUACCUAACGAGCCCUUGAUCAUAAUGCAAUUAAUUAGUAAACUGAAAUUUGUAUGCUUCUCAUUGGUUCAAUUUGUAUCAACUAGUUGCUUAGAAAAAUUCAAUUGAAUUGAUCAAGUGAAAGCAACCUAAAAAUUUAGUAAUUACUAUAAAAGCAUGAUUGAAUACAUUGAAUGAAGAAUUAUGUUAAACCCAAACUAGAUUCUUUUGAUAUUGAAUUAUGCAAAUUUAUUUCCUUUGUAGUUUACUAUUUAUUGCAUUCAAAACUUCAAACGCCCCCUUACUUCGGGUUGAAAAUAAUUUGGCUUGAAAAACUGCUUGCUUCUUAAAUUCGACUCCAACUUACCAGUAAGACUAGCUAUAUAUUAGUGUGUAAUUCGAUAAUUAUUUGAUCUAAAUAUAUCAUCAAUUAUAUAUAUGUAUAUGAUAUUAAUUCUCUACCCACUUUAUUAGCAAAUAUGUCGUAUGAUAAAAUAUUAUACAAAAGCAAAAGUGAAGUGCAUGAUUAGCAACCUACUCACGUGGCUCAUUCUUAUGGUGCCACGCUUCACUUAGUUUUUUUCUCUAAACUUUUAAUUUGAUUCUUUCAUCUUUGCUUUUAUAACUCUUUGUUUUUCUUUAUUGUUUUUUUUUUUUUCUUUCAACCUCCAAAUUUCAAGUUCCAUCUUUACUAUUUUACCAUUUUAAGUUCAUCUAUUUCUUUUUUCCAACAGAUUUCUUCUGAAGUAAAACCCCAACAAAUUCCAUGAAAGAGCACUAAUGAUAAAUAUACUCUUUCAAAUCUCUUCACUUUUUUACCCAUCUCCAACAAGGGUUGCUUUUGUUUAUUUAUAAAUUUAUGGUGGGAGAAGAAAAAGAGAACUAUGAGAGUGAAGCUUGGGACUAGAAGCUAAAAACAACAAGAAAUUAAAAACAUGAAAAAGAAAGAAGGAACAAUUUUUUUAAAAAAAUACAAAUACCUUAUAUUAUAAUUAUUAAUACUGUAAUAGUUUUAUGUAAUUGAAAUUUAUAUUAAAUAAAUAUUAUAAUAUUGUGAAUAAUGAAUUAAGGAUAUUCACAUCCUCUUUUUCUAAUUUUGAAAGCAUGAAUAAUGGGGCAGAGAUUCUACACUUUUACGUUGAUAGGAAUGUUUGUGGUGUGGAAUCAAACUGCAUCUCUUAAAUUAAAUUCUUACCUUUUGUAGCCUUUUUGUUGUACAAUAAUAACCAAACUCCCUUUCAUAUUUCCUUCUUUUAUUGGAUAAAUCAAUACUGGGUAUAAGGGUCUAAUCAAGGAUCAUUUUUGGGUCUAUGUCAAUUAUACCAUCAUCCUCCUCCUAAGCUUCCAUUCUUAGAUUGGAGAUUUUUCCCGGUAGUGAGAAUAGUUGAGAUGACAAUGUGUUUCCAUACACGAAAAUCGAGGAUAUUAAAAUAUUUGAUAUGUCUCUACGCAUUGUCUACUGCUAACCCUUUUCUUCUCUAUCCAAUUAAUAGAAAUUUAGUCACGUUUAAAUUCCAAGUAUUUAAGAAGAAAACAAAUGAAGAGGAACAACUUUAAGGUAUAGUCUUUCAUGGUUAUUCAAAUGACAACUUUGCUGGUAAAUUAGGAAAUAUAAGUUAUGUUCAUGGAAAUGUAAACUUUAGUGGUGUCAUCUUCCUUGAAUAUGCUUAAACUUUAAGCAUAAAAAAAAGAUGAAAACAAACAUUUCUUCAAUCUUCUUCUCUUCUUUUUGGUGUGUAUAAUACUUGGCCCAGACACCAAAAAGUAUAUUUUGUAUACAUUAACUAGAAAAACACAUCUUUAGUACUUUAUCAUGAUUCAUGCUUUCUACCAUUAUCAUUUGUAUGCUACAUCAUUUAUCUAUUAAUUAAAUUAAUGAUUCGAAAAAUUUCUCAAAAUAGGUUCGGAUAAACUUAUUUAUUCAAUUGAAUUGGAUAGAUAAUGCAUUAAAUACUAUUUUGAUGUAUAUAUAUAUAUAUAGAUAGAGAGAGAGAGGACGGAGGGAUAAAACUUUUUGAGUAAUAAGAGAAAAUGAUUGCCGUGAAAAAGGUUGAGUUAAAAAAGUUAGCUUAUUAAUUACUUAAAGGUAAAAAGUAUACAGAUACAUAUAUAUAUGAGUGCAAUAGUAUUUGUCUGUUUUUCACGUGGUGGCUUAUAUUUUAGUUACAAAAUAUUAAAAUAAAAUUGAAAAUCUGCCUCUCACAAACACAAAAUCAAGACGGCCACCGUCGCCAGCGACAAAGCAAAUCAACGACACACCCUUUCUCUCUGCUCCUUCUCUUUCUCUUUCACUUCUCUCCUCAAUCCGUACGCUCAGAUUCUUCCCUUUGUUCCCCGCCGCCGAUGCCACACGCUUUACCCUCCUCCUCUUCACCCUCUCCCUCUCCCUCACCAUCAAUCACUUUCUCUUUCUCUUCUCUCCACACGAUCUGAAUACCACACCUUCCUCUUUCCUUUCAAAAUGGUGCUGGAAUUACUUUCCUCCAACACCUCUUGUCUUCCUCUCGACCUUCUCGUUCUCGAUGUAGUUAUGGCUUCCUUCAAUGGUCUUCUUGCUUUCGUCGCCUUCUCUCAGGUGAGCUCCUCUUCUCGUAAUUGUCAACAGUUUCGGGAUUUUUUUUUUCUUUUUUUUAAUUUCAAUUGCAUCUUAGAAUUGUUCCGACGAGAUUUCUAUGUAUGUAUUUGUGGUUUGAUUGGUUAUUAAUGAUUUGGCAUUGGAGUUGAAGUUCAAAUUCUUUGUAGAUAAGAGCUGAACGUUUGGUGUAAUUGAGAAUUGGUGCUUAAAAACACAUUGGUACACUUUAGGGAUAAUUUAGGUUGGGAAUUCUUUUGGAAAGACAGACUGUUCACCGGUUCUAAGCUCGAUUGUUGAGGGACAUUGUCAAAGGGAUAUAGGAUUGUGCGUUACUUUCUUUUACAUAUGAGUUCGAGUGUCUGCAUUUGUUUAAUAUUGCUAGUCUGUUCAAUUUUCAAUUUCAAGUUUUUUCUCCGUAAUCUUUACUUACACUUCAGAAAUUAUGGUUUUCUUUUCGUGCAUUUAAAUUUGUGAGACUUAUGGUUUUGUAACAUGUUGUAAUCAUUUGAUUGAGAGGAAUAAGAAUUGACACUAUGAGAGACAUCACUCCAUAUCAAGCAAAUGGAGCAUGUUUUUCAUUAUCGUAAAAUUUUUUAAUUCUUCGUACUGGAGAACUUACGGUGGUGAGCGAUGGAAUAUAUUCUUGCAUUCCUUUGCACAUUAAAUUGUGUAGUGAAUGGUUUAUUGCUAGUAAUUUUUGUUAUGCGUUAAUUGUUCUGGUUUUUAUUCCAGCUCAUCAGAAUUCACAUGCGGAGUCAACAAGAUGGAUGGACACGUCAAAAAGUGAGACAUAGUCUUUCUACCCCUUAAUUCUUCAUGAAUAUUAUAACUAAGAAGGAUUUCAAUUUUGAAGAUGUCUUCGUGGAAUUUGGAAACACGGAUGAUAUUUGUUCUUAAUAAUUUCUCUUUUGAAGUACAAAUAUGACAUGGCUCCUUGAAUUCUAGGCACAAAGUGCGUAAGAGGCAAUAGUUCCCUCAAGUUUAACUGUAAUGUAGGUAGUGAGAACCCAUGUUCUUUUAAAAACCAGCAAAUUCCAUAGGAAGAGCACUCAAGAGGAAGUCAAUAAUAAAAUCUCUUUGAUCUUAAAAGAUUACAUUUCUUUUCUAAGUAUGGUGUCAUUUGCGAACUUUCUUUUAAUUGAUUGUUAGCAAUUGAAAAGAAAGUUUAUUUGUUAACAUUCUCACUAUGUGAUAAUAAUCUUUCUUUGGAAUUCAACUUGCAGGCACUCCAUCUGAUGAUAGGCUCAUCUAACUUGGGUAAGCGUGUACUAAUCAAAAUGACUGGUUCUUACAAAAAAACAGAAGUAACUAGUUGAGAUGACCAGUUAUCCUUUAUAAUACAAAUGCUACCUAAGCCUAUUCAUUCACGUUCUUGGGAUGAAUUUACGUUCAAUAUUGCAUUUGGAUCAACCUGGUCCAUUUUCAAAACACUAGUAAGGGCAUCAUAUUGAAAAUGUUAAGAAUUUUGGCUUAUGUGAGUUUGAUAAAUCUAAAGUACCUCUAUUGUAUUCACAAAAAGAUAUAUACCUACUGUGGUUGAACCGUUUCAGGCAUUUGAUUUAGACUGAUUUAGUAGCUUUAACACAAUUUAAUCUUUAUAAAAGAGUAGUCUAACUUUUUUUGUGCACUUGUAUGAACGGCAGUCUGCAACUAGUACACUGCUGCAAUCCUUAAACUUUGUACCAUACUGUUCUUUGUUUAUUUUGUUUUCUUUUCUGGAUUCUCUACUAUCAUGGCCUCUCAUUAACUUCUGGACAUAACACCAUGUUAAUUUUUGAAACUUGGUGAUUGAUUUGCAGGCUAUAUGAUCUAUUUCAUAUUUGCACUAGUUACUAUUAUUCAGCUCUGGCACUGCUGGUCUCAUGUGUUUGCAUUUGUCCUCAUGGGUAUGUUUUCAACAGUUGUUAUUAUUUUAUGUGCUCCCGCCCAGACAUAGCAUAUACUAAUAAUUUUGAGUGGAAUUGCUGUUGCAGCCUUCCCUAAAAUAUUAUUUCUUGCUGCUUUUCUCCUACUUCUGUCUUUCUGGUACGUUUCCAACCGUUUUCUAGUGUAGAAGCUUUUAUUCUUGAAUUAGUAAAUCAUCUUAUCCUUUACUGACAUCGAUUAUCUUCCAUGUUGAAGCAUAAAUUUUAAGCUCUUCCAUGUUGAAGCAUAAAUUUUAAGCUCCUUUCUAGUUGUACUUUUGGAUUUGGAAAUAUGGGGCUAAUGGUUUAAAUUGUAGCAAUGCAAUUACGAGUGCAUUUUCUUUUUGUGAAUUUUUUCCACUCAACUCAAAAUGCUGUAUAAUUUAUAUGGUAUACAUAUGCUUCUAUUGUAUAUGAUAUCAUAGGGUCGACCUUUGCCACCAGGCAAAUGACGAAGAGGAUGACGAUGAUGAUGAAGAAAAUAACAUUCGACAGACCUUGUUAGAAAAUUCAAAAAAUAAACCUGGUUCAUCAAAUGUAGAUGGGCAUCGAAGAUGUUGUGGGUUUCCUGCUAUUCACCUUGGAAGUAGGCAAAAAAUUGUAAUUGUGGUAAUGUGGAACAUCUUAUUAGUAUCAUUUAUUUGUGUGAAGUAAUUGUGUUUGUUCAUGUAUUGUUUGCUUGUUUGAUAUUUAUUUUUUUCCAAUAUAAUCUUAUAUCAGCCAUCCCUAUCUUUCAGGUUGUCAUGCUGGUAUUUUUACUCAUGGUCGCAGUUUCUAUUUUGAUCUGGAUUGGGGCAGGAAAAAAUCCUAUUGAUUCUACAGCUGUUGCCAGGGUAUAGAUUACUUUUCAUUUUCGAAUCUGGUUUUCAUGUUCAUAUUGUCUAAAAUUCAGUUGUUGCAUGCAACUGCUUUACAGCAGGGUAUCUGAAAGACAUGGCAGUUAAAUUGACUUGACAAAAAAAGCCUUUAGGGCUAAGUGAAUAAUAUGGUUGACGGAUUCUCAAAUUGGACAUAAGUUGGAUUCAUACUGUAAUCUAAAUAAAGAGAAAACUAGAGUUAUGGACUUACCAGAAUUUAUUUGCAAAAUUAAUACUUUUUCUUUCCUUGAACAAAGUUAGUCCUUUUAAAAUUUGUCAGACUUUGGAGCUAUGGUUCUUAAAGCAUUAAACAAAACUAAUAAAUAUAAGUUCAAAUGUAAUAUUCUUAAUUUCAGGCUGCAGCCAUAUUCUUUUUGCUGUGAUUAAACUGGAAAUAGUGUUUUCAUUUUGUAGCAUUUGUUAGUAUUAUACAUAGGUUUUAGUUUCACAUUUCUUUCCUAGAUCUACAGGUAUCUUAUCCAGUAGUUGUACUUGUAUUGAUACAAUUUAAUUAAUUCCUAAAUGCUGUUUAUUUCAACUUAUUGGUUAUUUUCAGGUGUAUGAAGACUUUCUUGCUAUUACAGUCCUCCUAUCAGGAGGAGCCCUAGGCUUCUAUGGUGAGCAAUUUCUCUUGAUAUUUUCGGCUUUCUUCUAAGAAGUUUAUAAUUGUUUGAUGUGAUAUUCUGGUAGUUUGCAUUUGUUUUUUUUCUUUUCUUCAAUCUCUUUAUAUGUCUGACCCAAUAUGAUUUUUCUUUCUUCUUCCUCUCCUAAAUUUUUUUCAGGAUUUAUGUUAUUUUACAGAUUGAAAAAAGUUCGUUCUGAGGAAGCUUCUUCAGAGAUGAAGAAGGUAAUUGACUCAAGUUCUAUAAUUACCGUGUAAUUCUUUUCCCUCUCCUGUCAGUUGAAGUGUUAGUUCCUGAAUGUGUAUGGAUGUGGACGGGAAAUCCGUUAAGAUUAAAUUGCUUAAUAAUUUAAAAUCAAAGAUAUUAUCCACAAAGUAUACAUUAUAGGACCUUUAUCUGAAAUCUAAUAAAUCUCAAGAUUUGGGAAUAAUUCUAUUACAUGCAGGUUGGUGGUCUAGCAGUUGUCUGUGUUGUAUGUUUUACAUCAAGUGCUUUGGUAGAUCUUCUUACGGAUAUUCCUGUAAGUUGUAGACUCUCUUUAUGUGUUUGGAUCCAGUUGGUUGUGAAUGAUCUCAUAUAUAUAUGCUUCGUUUAAGUUUCUAACAUUUCUCACUUAUGAUAGCUUUCUUAUAAUUGGCGCUUCAAGAGAACAAAUGGAGUAGAGGCAUCGGUCAUUUUAAGUUUGUACUUCUGCAUGGGUAUGUCCUUCUGAUUUCUUUUAUUGACCUGGGAUCUAAAUUAUUUGAGUAUUAGAUACUGGUUUGCCGUGUUUGCCUUCUUGGGUUGAUUUUGGUAGAAAUUUGGUAUCCUCUUUUGAUUUUUUAUUUUCCUCCAAAGUUUUUUAUUCUGUUAUAUAUAUGUGUGUGUGUGUAUAUAUGUAUGUAUUAUAGCUACUAGCUAAAAGAGUUUGUGUAACUAAAGUUUAAAACUUUCAACCCUCUGAACUGACUUCGUUUGGAUGGGAUAUUGGGUGCAGUAUCUUUAUAUUGUUAUUGGCACUGUAUUUGUUGAAAAUUGAGAUCUGUUUUUAUGAGCCUGAUAUUAUAGUUACAUUUGAUCUAUUGCUUGAACAAGCAACUACGUUAACAGAAAAAUGGUUUAUCCCCCAUGCAUUAGGGUCGCUUUGUAGCGUAAUUACUUCAUUUAUGUUCAAAAGUCAUUAAUACUUCAGUUCAUUAUUAGCUUUUUCUGAAUGAAAGUUUAAUUUUGUUAGAAUUAGUGCGCUUGUGUGUUGAAAGCCCAAGGGUUCUUUUGUAUUUUAUGUAACCCUAAUUGUUCUUUCCUUUUUUUUUGGCUUCUGUUGGCUAUUAAUCUUCUCCCUUUGUAUCUUUUGUGAUAUAACCAAAUAAUAAAAAAACUCUACACUGUGGUUUUUCUACCUGUACUAGGGUUUCCACGUAAACUUGUGUUUUGUUCUUUGUUAUUCUUUCAAUAUAGUAUCAGUGCGGGAUAACAACAAUAAAUAAAUAAACAAAACUUUGGUUUUUUAAAGUGAUGAAUAUUAGUAGGUCCAGAGUUCACCUGGCUUUCUUGAGGCUUAUGUUCAUCAUAAAUUUAAAAAUAUGAGAUAUUUUGUAAUUUGUAGAUGGAAAAUUAUUCCUAGAGGUUUUAAUAUAUAUAUGUAUAUACACAUACAUACAUACAUAUUAAAGGGUUUUUGUAUGGCUUGUUUUGUUCUGGUCACUAUUUCUUCUUUAGCUUGAGAUGUUAUUUAGUCUUGGUACAUUUUCUCGAAAUGAUUUGGUCACUAAGGGUGUGUCUUCCUAGUUGAGAUGCUUGGUUGUGUCAUUCUUAGUUUUUUUUUUGUUCGUUGUAUAAUUCUCUUGUAUUCUGACCAUUAUUUUCAUUUCAUUUUAUCAAUGAAGGGCUCGUAUCCAUUUAAAUUUAUUAAAAUAAAAGAAACAUAAAAAGAAAAAAGGUCCUAGAGGUGGGCAUCUUGUAAAAGUUGACUGCACUAUCUCCUGCUCCUCAGUAAUCAUUUGUAGUGUUCGUUAAAAUACAGGAUCAUAAUUAUAUGAUAAUGAAUGUUCCCGAGUUGUAAUUUCCUGAAUUAUACUUCAAAUGAUGGAUCGUCAUCCCAGAGAAAAUGAAUCCAUGCAAGUCUGCUUGUGUAUUCAUGCAUUUUCCAUUUAUUAGCAAGGUUUUGUUUAUUGUGGUCAAACUUGUUUCUUGUUAGGUUCUUUGAUUCCAUCAGCGUUUUUAUUGUGGAUUAUGAGAGAGUUGCCACCUCCUAAGAAAGUUCAAAGACAAGAAGAAUCGAGAGCAAUUGCAUUUAUAAGCCAUGGGGCAGCUGAUGCAAAUCCUCAGGGUUGGACUGCUGUAGCUCGUUCAAAGAAUCAGGUUUCUUGUCUUUCGCCUUCUGAAGUGUCAACAUUAUCUUUUUGAAGUUUUAUUCUUGAUUUAUUACUUGUGUAAAUAAUAGGACUUUCUCAUUAAGGAGAAAAAAUGGUGAAGAAUAAGACUUGUGCAUGCUAAUGAAUUGAUCAAAACCUGAGGUAGCUUUUUUUUUGGGAUAAAGAAACAUUUCAACAAAAAAUGAAAUUAGGGGAAAAUGCGAGACACCUAUGGGUGAUGACAAGAAAGAUCGCCAAUUGGCAAUUAGAAAAGAUAAGCUAUAAUGGGUGAAAGCAUGCUGCUUAAUUUUGCACCAUGAAAAAAGCAGUAGAAAGGACUGAUGCCUAAAAUCUACCAAAAGGGGAGCAAGAAUCACAAAAAAAGACCGACAAUUUCGUUCUCUCCAAAGAACCAAACCUGGGGUAACUUUCCGCCUUAAAAAUUUCUAUCUAAUGAUUUAUUGCAGAGGCAUCUUAAGUCACUCCAAAAUGUUCUUUUAUAUUUCUUAUAAAAGCCUCAGCUUUUUUUUUCCCACUUCCGAUUUUAUCUUUGAUUACUUAUUUUCAGCAUAGCUUUUGUGGAGCACCUCAUCUUGGUUAACAUCUCUUUCCUCAUCAGACUUAAGACCUUGGAAUGAUUAUAGAGCUCUCUUGGUAAAUUUUUAUAGGUACCUUAGCUCAUGGAGAGGUUUGGUAACCUCCUCCUUUUCUUAUCAUCUUGUUCUUCAUUAACUCCGACGUCACACACAAUCAUCAAGGGUUAUGAUAAAAUUAGACCAGGGAUAGAAAGUGAAGAAUCCUAUUGACACCAUUAGGGUUAGAAAUGAACUUCCAUUUAGUACUUGUUCUGCAGCCCAAAGCUUGAUUGCUUCUUGUUGACAUCACCAAUAGGUCGGUUUCAUUGGCUAAGAAAAAUGAGAACAAAAGAGUCUUCACAAGGAAAGCUACCUACGGCUUUCUUUCAGGCGUAUUUGAUAAGAAAUUGUUGUUUACUUAUUUCAGAUCUUCUUAAUUCAGUACCUCAAAGUUUGCUUAUUAUUCUGUGUUGAUUAUAAUUCAAGAACAAAGUUGAAGUAGACAUCAUAAGAGUCUCUUUUAGUCAUAUUUGGUUAGAGAGUAACAGACGUACUUUUUAGGAGAGCUAAGGGUGUUGGUGAUUCUUGGCAGUUUGCAUCUUGUCAGUGUAGAAUCCUCAAAUGACUUCUUUAAUUCUCUUACUCUAUGAUUCUUCCAAUUAGAGGGAUUUUUGGAAAUUCCUUGAAGAGUGUAAAUUUUAUAGGUUCAAAUGGAACUCUCUGCUUCCUUUCAAAAUAAAAUAGUAAAGAUCACAAAGGAACUUAUAUAGGAAGAAUGUGAUAGCACACUGAUUAAUACUUGUAAGGUUCAUAAAAACCAUACAAUUUGUGAUGUUGUGGGUUUCCAUCCAUGUCGCAUGAUGUUAGGCAGAUCAGCAGUACAUCAUUCAACCAGACAUGCCAGAUGUAUGAGUAAAAGGAAUUUUGACAAUGAUUCUAACAUAACCUCUCUCUUCCUCCUACAAGAAACCACUCGUUCAAAUUAUCAUUGGUUGACCUAGUGGUAAAUAAAGGAACAUCCCCUUGAUAGAAGGUUAAGAGGUUAUGGGUCAAUCCAUGGUAGCUAUAUACUUAGGAGUUAAUAUUUUACGAGUUUCCUUGACGAUUAGGAGAUUAGUCGAGGUGCAUGUAAGCUGGUCUAAACGUUCACGAGUAUAAAGAAAAGGAAAAGAAACUACUUCUCCCAACCAAAGAGAUUAAUGUUGAGGUUUGAAUUUACUUUGUCCAAUCAUAUGAUUCCAAGAGCUGACACCAUCAAAUUGACAUAACAUGAACCGGAACCUCUUACCUAUUGUAAUGGUUCACAGCAUCUUAAUACUUAUUUGUGGUACCAUUGAAGAUGCAUUUAAAUGCCGUCCGUGCUGUGUUCUUUAAAAAGUUGGGUGUGGACGUCAGCUGAAAGUAUGCAAAUGCAGUUCAGCCUACGAAGCUAUGUUUUCGGGCUUCAACAUGGGUUUAGGAAAGUGGAGGCUCUUUGGUUGAAGGGUUGAAUGUUUUUGUAAAUCCAGCAUGAUCGUCAAACUUUGACAUAAAAAGCUUAAGUAUUUUGUUCCGUUCUAUUCUUUUAAUCCUUAUAUUGUUAUGUAUUCUUUUCUCUGAACUGAAUGUACGGUGAUUGCAGGGGUCGAGAGCAAGUCCGAUAUAAUGAAACAUGUAAGGACGCGAUUGAGUGAAAAAUUAUGAGCAGAGAUACAAAGUCUAACUUACGGGAUGAAAGAUGAGAGGUUUGACCAAGAGCUGUGACGCCUGUAUAUUUCAACAAAAGUUGAUGACUAACAUCACAUGUCAGAGUAAUCAAAGAAAUGCAGCCGCACAUAUAUAUAUAUACAUAUCUAUAUAUAUAUAUCGAGGUUUUUUUUUUUUUUCUUUCUUUUUUAAUUUCUUUAAAUUUAUUUUCCUUUGCCCUCCCCCUUCUUCUGCACAUAGUAGCCAAGGAUUGAUCGCUUUCUUUGAUUUUGGGGGGAAAAUGUUGUACAAUUUUUGCUUCCAUAGAAGCUUGAAAGUUUUGCAGAUUAUGUUGUAAAAUCACCCUUGUGUACUCAAACUAGUUGUUCUCAUGGAAACUGAUAUUACAAUGGUUAAGUUAUAAGGGUCACCGGUAACUACCAUUUUCUAAUUUAUGAAUGCCGAUCAAGUCUCUCUACAUGAAAAGACCUUUCCUCUGCGAUGCGUUUGUUGUUGUAAAUGUGCAGUGUCGUUGGAUACACAAUUAUGUGAAAGGGAAUAUGAUUAACUCUAAACUCAACCCCUAUCUCGUAUUUUGUAAAUUUUCACUUCUGAAAGGUAUUUACGUUGUUCAAUUACCUACUAAUUACUAUUAUAUCAUUAUUCAACAAUGAUUUUGAAUUUUCCAAAGGGACAUUUGUUGGAUGUUGGAUGUUGGAUGUUGGACAGUUGAUAUCUCAAAUAAGAUCCAUAUUGCUAAAUUGGUAUCUUAAGGACGUGUUUGUAUAAUGACUUUAAUUUGUUUGCAUAUCUUCCGUUAUAAUUCAACCCCUCUUGACCAUUACUGAAAAUUUCGGAAAAAAAACAGUGGAGUUGUAAAAUUGGCGAUUUAAGGCAGUGGAGUUGAAUUAGUUGGUAUAAUUGUUGAAGAAGAUGUGAAAAAGUAUGAUAUUCUGAAUUCGAAAGAGCAUGUAACACCAAAACUAAGGGGUCAGCAAUGAGUAGGGCAAAAUCAAGGAAGUUGAUCUAUUUUUCUUAUCCUUAUCAAGAGUUGGCAUAUGAUAUCAAAGAUAAAGAGUACGUGGAGGUCUAGCAUUGGGCAAGACAGAAAGAGAGAAGCAAAAUAUGAUAGAGUAGCCAUAGGAAGUAGGAAGUGGAAGGAAGCAAAUAACAUACAUUUGUAAUUGUGGAUGAUAAACUGCCAUAUGGCAAUUGAAAAUAAACUAAAUAAAAACAAAAAUCUUGGGAGUGUUCAUUUUAGCCAAUGAGGAAACAGAUAGAGAUCUCAUCAAGAUAAGGACCCUAUUCUCUUCUUCAUCUAUAAAACAAAAACAAAUCAAACCCUCAACUCACUCAUACAAACCAAAAACUACUCCAAUUCUAACUAACAGAUACGAUGGCAGCUUCAUCCAUGGCUCUCUCCUCCCCUUCCUUCGCCGGCCAAGCCGUCAAAUUAUCCCCCACCGCCUCCGACCUCCUCGGCGAAGGCCGCAUUACCAUGAGAAAAACCGCCGGAAAGCCCAAGCCCGUUUCCUCCGGUAGCCCAUGGUACGGCCCCGAUCGUGUCAAAUACCUUGGCCCAUUCUCUGGAGAACCCCCAUCCUAUCUUACCGGAGAAUUCCCCGGUGACUACGGUUGGGACACUGCCGGCCUCUCCGCCGACCCCGAAACCUUCGCCAAAAACCGUGAACUCGAAGUAAUCCACUCGAGAUGGGCCAUGCUCGGAGCCUUAGGCUGCGUAUUCCCGGAGCUCCUCUCCCGCAACGGAGUCAAAUUCGGCGAGGCUGUGUGGUUCAAAGCUGGAUCACAAAUCUUCAGCGAAGGUGGGCUCGACU